UAUCAUUACUGCUCCAUUUACCAUCCGUAGCAUAAGGAAAACUCUCAUUAAGGAUAUACUUUUAUAUAUACAAAAGAGGGGGAAAUUAGAGAAGAGCUCUGAUGAAGUUUUAUUUAAUCUCCAAAAUAAAAUUAAUUUCCUAUAUCUAGUUUUUCAAGCUUGAAUUUUAGUAGAACAUUAUUCAGACGCUUCUCAGAGUGUCUUUUAGCUUUGGCAUUCUCAGAGUGCCUUUUAGCUUUGGCAUCCAGUGAUUAGGUAAUCGAAGUAGUUCGUGCAUUAACUUGGAGUGGUGAGCCUCCCUACUUCGGAAGACAUUCAACAGAUCCGAGUACUAGAAACCAGCGUUGACGUGAUUCCUACUUUCCAGUACUAAUCCGGAGCAGGGUGAGCUUGCUGUCAUUCGAGGCUGAUCCUCCUUUAUCUAAUCCAGUUUAGUUUUUUGUACUCAAAACAACUUCUAUAUAUUGUGUAUAUUUUGAAUUCUUUCUAGUACUCUGAGUAUCUUUUAGUAGUGGCUCUAGUACCGACCUUACCAGGUCUUCAUAGAGAUUCAUUUGUAUAUC
This is a long non-coding RNA of Capsicum annuum, 563 nucleotides long. RefSeq lists it as uncharacterized. The transcript has 3 exons. Lineage: Eukaryota; Viridiplantae; Streptophyta; Magnoliopsida; Solanales; Solanaceae. The record is from RefSeq and is a predicted model, not a curated record.